GACGUAGGGGGCGAGCGUUGUCCGGAUUCAUUGGGCGUAAAGCGCGCGCAGGCGGCCUGGUUAGUCGGAUGUGAAAAUCCGGGGCUCAACCCCGGACCUGCAUCCGAUACUGCCAGGCUAGAGGCAGGUAGGGGAGAUCGGAAUUCCUGGUGUAGCGGUGAAAUGCGCAGAUAUCAGGAGGAACACCGGUGGCGAAGGCGGAUCUCUGGGCCUGUCCUGACGCUCAGGCGCGAAAGCCAGGGGAGCGAACGGG
Molecule: ribosomal RNA, 253 nt
Filed under: uncultured prokaryote
Description: partial 16S ribosomal RNA
Rfam family: Bacterial small subunit ribosomal RNA
Source: RNAcentral